UGGGCAACCUGCCCCUCUCUCUGGGAUAACCCCCGGGGAAACCGGAGCUAAUACCGGAUACUCUCGGCCGAUCACAUGGCUGGCCGAGGAAAGGUCCGCCGGUCAGGGAUGGGCCCGCGGCCUAUCAGCUUGUUGGCGAGGUAACGGCUCACCAAGGCGACGACGGGUANCUGGUCUGAGAGGAUGGCCAGCCACAUUGGGACUGAGACACCGGCCCAGACCUCCGUACGGGGAGCA
This 237-nucleotide ribosomal RNA is filed under the name uncultured bacterium. Its description in RNAcentral is "partial 16S ribosomal RNA". It matches the Rfam family "Bacterial small subunit ribosomal RNA", at positions 118 to 350 of the family's 1533-position model. The record is from RNAcentral.